AGCAGUCGCCGCGGUAAUACAGAGGGUGCGAGCGUUAAUCGGAUUUACUGGGCGUAAAGCGUGCGUAGGCGGCUUUUUAAGUCGGAUGUGAAAUCCCUGAGCUUAACUUAGGAAUUGCAUUCGAUACUGGGAAGCUAGAGUAUGGGAGAGGAUGGUAGAAUUCCAGGUGUAGCGGUGAAAUGCGUAGAGAUCUGGAGGAAUACCGAUGGCGAAGGCAGCCAUCUGGCCUAAUACUGACGCUGAGGUACGAAAGCAUGGGGAGCAAACAGGAUUAGAUACCCGUGUAGUCCCUGUCUCUUAUAA
This 303-nucleotide ribosomal RNA is filed under the name uncultured bacterium. Its description in RNAcentral is "partial 16S ribosomal RNA". It matches the Rfam family "Bacterial small subunit ribosomal RNA", at positions 507 to 809 of the family's 1533-position model. The record is from RNAcentral.